CUGGUUCAGGAUGAACGCUAGCGACAGGCCUAACACAUGCAAGUCAGGGGCAGCACAAGGAGCAAUCUGAGGUGGCGACCGGCGCACGGGUGAGUAACACGUAUGCAACCUGCCUGUAAGCGGGGAAUAACCCGUUGAAAGACGGACUAAUACCGCAUAAUACUAAAUUACUGCAUGGUAAUUUAUUUAAACAUUUAUGGCUUACAGAUGGGCAUGCGCAUGAUUAGCUAGUUGGAGAGGUAACGGCUCCCCAAGGCAACGAUCAUUAGGGGUUCUGAGAGGAAGGUCCCCCACACUGGUACUGAGACACGGACCAGACUCCUACGGGAGGCAGCAGUGAGGAAUAUUGGUCAAUGGACGAGAGUCUGAACCAGCCAAGUCGCGUGCAGGAAGAAUGUCCUAUGGAUUGUAAACUGCUUUUGCAGGGGAAUAAAGUGCAUCACGUGUGAUGUUUUGUAUGUACUCUGCGAAUAAGGAUCGGCUAACUCCGUGCCAGCCGCGGC
Molecule: ribosomal RNA, 503 nt
Filed under: uncultured bacterium
Lineage: Bacteria
Description: bacterial SSU rRNA
Rfam family: Bacterial small subunit ribosomal RNA
Source: RNAcentral